This 74-nucleotide transfer RNA is filed under the name Phytophthora infestans (potato late blight agent). RNAcentral's name for it is "tRNA-Pro". The record is from RNAcentral. Lineage: Eukaryota; Oomycota; Peronosporomycetes; Peronosporales; Peronosporaceae.
GGCCUCGUGGUCUAGUGGUAUGUUCUCGCUUCGGGGUGCGAGAGGUCCCGGGUUCGAUUCCCGGUGAGGGCCCG